RNAcentral lists this ribosomal RNA (735 nucleotides) under uncultured bacterium. RNAcentral's name for it is "bacterial SSU rRNA". It matches the Rfam family "Bacterial small subunit ribosomal RNA", at positions 62 to 829 of the family's 1533-position model. The record is from RNAcentral.
UCGCACGAGAAAGGGUAGCAAUACCUGAGUACAGUGGCGCACGGGUGAGUAACACGUGAAUAAUCUACCUCCGAGUGGGGAAUAACUUAGGGAAACCUGAGCUAAUACCGCAUAACACUUACGAGUCAAAGCAGCAAUGCGCUUGGAGAGGAGUUCGCGGCAGAUUAGCUAGUUGGCGGGGUAAUGGCCCACCAAGGCGAUGAUCUGUAUCCGGCCUGAGAGGGCGCACGGACACACUGGAACUGAAACACGGUCCAGACUCCUACGGGAGGCAGCAGUGGGGAAUUUUGCGCAAUGGGGGAAACCCUGACGCAGCAACGCCGCGUGGAGGAUGAAAUCCCUUGGGAUGUAAACUCCUUUCGAUCGGGACGAUUAUGACGGUACCCGUAGAAGAAGCCCCGGCUAACUCCGUGCCAGCAGCCGCGGUAAUACGGGGGGGGCAAGCGUUGUUCGGAAUUACUGGGCGUAAAGGGUGCGUAGGCGGUUCGUUAAGUUGGAUGUGAAAACUCUGGGCUCAACCCAGAGCCUGCAUCCAAAACUGGCGGGCUAGAGUUCUGGAGGGGGUAGCGGAAUUCCUGGUGUAGCGGUGAAAUGCGUAGAUAUCAGGAGGAACACCGGUGGCGAAGGCGGCUACCUGGACAGAAACUGACGCUGAGGCACGAAAGCUAGGGGAGCAAACAGGAUUAGAUACCCUGGUAGUCCUAGCCCUAAACGAUGGAUACUUGCUGUGACUGG